Long non-coding RNA from Helianthus annuus (common sunflower), 1432 nucleotides. RefSeq lists it as uncharacterized. Lineage: Eukaryota; Viridiplantae; Streptophyta; Magnoliopsida; Asterales; Asteraceae. The transcript has 6 exons. The record is from RefSeq and is a predicted model, not a curated record.
GAACAGUAUAGGUUUCCAGGUGACAUAUGACCGCCAUCUGCCGAUGUCUUCCCACCUUUGCAAAACGUUUCAUCUACCCUACCACACCGCUUCACCCUUCCAGUUCUCAUCCACCCUGCCAUACCACCUGAUGCUUCGAACACUCUUCUACCAGAUAACCCCGUUCACGCCGGCGACACAACCAACUAUUACCGUCGAUUCUUAGGAACAGUUCACCUCCAUCUGCCAGUCAUUCUCUUUAUCUUCUUAGCAAUCUUUUUGAGAGAGGUGAGAGGCUACAGAGAGAGCAGAAAGCCGCCGGACGGAGAGAAGUAAGAUGCUAGAGGGAGAGAGAGAGAGCAGAAAGCCGCUGGUGGGGAGAAGUGAGAGGCUAGAGAGAGAAGAAAACCGAUGUCGCCGGUAGUGUGUUGGUUGUCGCUAGAGAGACACUGUCACCGGCAGUCUUCGCCGGUCCAAGGGUACCUAUGGCUUUCGAUAGUAUCCCAGAUUGUGGCAUGGCAUUUAGAUUUUGAGGAAACGGCGUUCGUCGGAACCCUAGAUAACACAACAUUAGGAAUAGUAGCAUAUAUAAUUACUGGUCCACGUUGUUUUCCCUCCUGCCGUCUAGCCCUUCACGCCGCUUCAACAUCUGCUUCACCAGGGAGCAUCAAACUGGCCAAGGGGCACCAAAUGCGUUGGCUUUGACUUACAAUAGCAACUACCAACUACCAAGACCUUUCACUUUCCUUAAGGCUUAAUUUACAUUGAAGUCGGAAAAAGUGGAUAAAGCUAUGGAAAAAAAGGUUACAUGCCUAAACGACGUUUGUAAAGGGACAAAACGUUGUAUGUGGCGGCAUGUUCGAGGGAUAGGCUCAUGCGUCUCCGAGGCACAUGUUAGCAUAACAUCACACUCGCACAUGCUACCAUAACAUCACUGAUGGUGUCCCCUACAACCUAGGACGGUGGGCAAGGUGGCUAUAGGAAUUUGCAUCCUAGAGACGUGAUGGUGGAUGGCAGCGGUGCUGCGAGCAACCACAUAGUCAAUCCAUAGAUUACAAGAAGAUAAUCAGCAUGUCAAAGUUUCCAUUAACCAACACAAGCAACAAGAAGGAUUUCUAUUAUGUCCUUUCUUCUGGAAUUCUCAUCCAUGACGAAAAACUGGUGGUGGGAUUGGAUUUGGUGGAUGAUAGAAGCAAGCCAGAACCAAGAAAUGCCCAAUGGACAAAUAUAAAUCUCCUAGCCACAACGCGGCGGGUUCCAUCUAGUUAAUUUGAAAUUAAAAAUCUCUUCUUGCUAAACACUAUCCAAUUUUGUUUGGCUUUUUUACUUUUUUUUUACUCUUUUAACUUUUAUUUACUCUUUAACCCUUUUAGUUGAUAUUUUUUACACUUUUAACCCAAUAGUUAUCAUCUUGUACAUAAACCUCAUAAUUUACAUAUUUUACACUUUAACA